Molecule: non-coding RNA, 946 nt
Filed under: Erinaceus amurensis (Amur hedgehog)
Lineage: Eukaryota; Metazoa; Chordata; Mammalia; Eulipotyphla; Erinaceidae
Source: RNAcentral
CAUAUAAUAACUAAAGGUCUGGUCCUAGCCUUCCUAUUUUCUGUCAGUAGAAUUACACAUGCAAGUAUCAGCUAUCCAGUGAGAAUGCCCUCUAACCCUUAUUUAAGGUAUAAAGGAGCGGAUAUCAAGUACACAUAAAUGUUGCUUAUAACAUCUUGCUAAACCACGCCCCCACAGGAAACAGCAGUGAUAAAUCUUGAGCUAUAAACGAAAGUUUGACUAAGUCAUACUAAAACUUAGGGUUGGUAAAUCUCGUGACAUCCACCGCGGUCAUACGAUUAACCCAUGUAAAUAGGCAAUCSGCGUAAAGAGCGUUUAAGAUGUAAAAAGCUUAAAUUAUAUAUUAAAAAUCAACUAUAAAAGUGUUUUCAUAAAAUCUUAUUACACGUGAGCUAAGACCCAAACUAGGAUUAGAUACCCUAUUAUGCUUAGCCCUAAACUUAGUUACUUAACAAAACUAUUCGCCAGAGAACUAUGAGCCACAGCUUAAAACUCAAAGGACUUGGCGGUGCUUUAUACCCCCUAGAGGAGCCUGUUCUAUAAUCGAUAAACCCCGAUCAACCUCACCAAUCUUUGCUAAUUCAGCCUUUAUACCGCCAUCUUCAGCGAACCCUAAAAAGGAAUAAAAGUAAGCACAAUGAUUUAAAACAUAAAUAAGUUAGGUCAAGGUGCAGCCUAUAGAUUGGGAUGAAAUGGGCUACAUUCUUUUUUUUUUGAAAAGUAUAACGGAAAUUAUUAUGAAACUAAAAAUUGAAGGAGGAUUUAGCAGUAAAUUAAGAGUAGAGUGCUUAAUUGAAUUUGGCAAUGAAGCAUGCACACACCGCCCGUCACCCUCUUCAAGUAUAUCAAGUCAUCCACCUAUAUAAUUAAUGUUAUAAUGAUAAUUAUAUGCAAGAAGAGAUAAGUCGUAACAAGGUAAGUAUACUGGAAAGUGUACUUGGAUUAU